Meriones unguiculatus (Mongolian gerbil) is the source of this 387-nucleotide non-coding RNA. Lineage: Eukaryota; Metazoa; Chordata; Mammalia; Rodentia; Muridae. The record is from the annotation of a RefSeq genome assembly.
AGGGGGAGCAAGAUGAAGUCACAGACCGGAGUCCUCAUAUCCCUGCUGCUUUGGGUGUCUGGUGCCUGUGCAGACAUUGUGAUGACUCAGUCUCCAUCCUCCCUGGCUGUGUCAGAGGGAGAGAAGGUCUCCAUCAGCUGCAGGUCCAGUCAGAGUCUUUAUUACAGUGGCAACCAAAAGCACAUAUUGUCCUGGUACCAGCAGAAAUCAGGGAAAUCACCUAAGCGGCUGAUCUACUGGGCAUCCACUCGGGACACUGGUGUCCCUGAUCGCUUCACAGGCAGUGGAUCUGGGACAGACUACACUCUCAGCAUCAGCAGUGUGCAGGCUGAAGACCUGGCAGUUUAUUACUGUAUGCAGGGUGUUAGUGCACCUCCCACAGUUUGA